RNAcentral lists this long non-coding RNA (529 nucleotides) under Equus caballus (horse). RNAcentral's name for it is "lncRNA (ENSECAG00000059416.1)". The record is from RNAcentral. Lineage: Eukaryota; Metazoa; Chordata; Mammalia; Perissodactyla; Equidae.
UGGAGGGUGUACAGAGUAUGGUAAUAUGGCGACAGUGUUGCUUGUGCGCUCGUCACCCCUGCGCCCCCUCAGUGACAGACCCCCACUUUGUUUGGGAUUCAAAUGGAAACGUACACAGAGAAGGUGGGCCCAGUGCCCGGGCAUGAAUCAUGAGGGUCUAGGGCGUGGACUCCAAGCCAUCUUGUGGUUAUGCCAUUCCUCUGUGCCAGCGUAAUCGCGGAGGUGAAUUCCGAGAUGGAUGAACGACCUGGUCAGCAGCUCAGGAGUGACUGGUCUGAGCUGAGUCCUGAAGGGUGGAGCUGGAAAUGCACAGUGGUCUGAACCCACGUCCACUGUCGGGGCCUGGAGCCUUGGGGGCGGGUGUCCCAUCGUAAUGAGGAUGCCCAUGCUGCAGAGGCGGCACUCUGGCAUCAGGGGCUCAGGAGGGACAGGGCCUCGCUCAGCAGGCCCCCAGCCUGCUCCCCAGCCCCUGGGAGGCAGGGGUAUAAGGAAGGCUGCCUCGUCCAGACGCCCAGCAGAGCCUUCCGAC